Molecule: ribosomal RNA, 253 nt
Filed under: uncultured bacterium
Lineage: Bacteria
Description: partial 16S ribosomal RNA
Rfam family: Bacterial small subunit ribosomal RNA
Source: RNAcentral
UACGGAGGGUGCAAGCGUUAUCCGGAUUCACUGGGUUUAAAGGGUGCGUAGGUGGGUAGGUAAGUCAGUGGUGAAAUCCCCGAGCUUAACUUGGGAACUGCCGUUGAUACUAUCUAUCUUGAAUAUCGAGUAGGUAAGCGGAAUAUGUCAUGUAGCGGUGAAAUGCUUAGAUAUGACAUAGAACACCAAUUGCGAAGGCAGCUUACUUCAAGAUUAUUGACAUUGAGGCACGAAAGCGUGGGGAUCAAACAGG